UGGGGAAUUUUGGACAAUGGGGGAAACCAUGAUCCAGCCAUCCCGCGUGUGCGAUGAAGGCCUUCUGGUUGUAAAGCACUUUUGGCAGGAAAGAAACGUCAUGGGCUAAUACUCCGUGAAACUGACGGUACCUGCAGAAUAAGCACCGGCUAACUACGUGCCAGCAGCCGCGGUAAUACGUAGGGUGCAAGCGUUAAUCGGAAUUACUGGGCGUAAAGCGUGCGCAGGCGGUUCGGAAAGAAAGAUGUGAAAUCCCAGAGCUCAACUUUGGAACUGCAUUUUUAACUACCGGGCUAGAGUGUGUCAGAGGGAGGUGGAAUUCCGCGUGUAGCAGUGAAAUGCGUAGAUAUGCGGAGGAACACCGAUGGCGAAGGCAGCCUCCUGGGAUAACACUGACGCUCAUGCACGAAAGCGUGGGGAGCAAACAGG
This 429-nucleotide ribosomal RNA is filed under the name Acidobacteriota bacterium. RNAcentral's name for it is "Acidobacteria bacterium partial 16S ribosomal RNA". It matches the Rfam family "Bacterial small subunit ribosomal RNA", at positions 355 to 776 of the family's 1533-position model. The record is from RNAcentral. Lineage: Bacteria; Pseudomonadati; Acidobacteriota.